Molecule: ribosomal RNA, 253 nt
Filed under: uncultured bacterium
Lineage: Bacteria
Description: partial 16S ribosomal RNA
Rfam family: Bacterial small subunit ribosomal RNA
Source: RNAcentral
GACGUAGGGGGCAAGCGUUGUCCGGAAUCAUUGGGCGUAAAGCGCUCGUAGGUGGAUCCGUAAGUCUGCAAAGAAAGACCCGGGCUCAACUCGGGGAACGGUGUGGAUACUACCGAUCUUGAGGCAAUCAGAGGAUGAUGGAAUUCCCGGUGUCGCGGUGAAAUGCGUAGAUAUCGGGAGGAACACCAGUGGCGAAGGCGAUCAUCUGGGGUUGUUCUGACACUGAGGAGCGAAAGCUAGGGGAGCAAACGGG